Molecule: ribosomal RNA, 638 nt
Filed under: uncultured bacterium
Lineage: Bacteria
Description: bacterial SSU rRNA
Rfam family: Bacterial small subunit ribosomal RNA
Source: RNAcentral
UUGCCGGCGACCGGCGCACGGGUGAGUAACGCGUAUCCAACCUUCCGUACACUCAGGGAUAGCCUUUCGAAAGAAAGAUUAAUACCUGAUGGUAUGAUGAGAUUGCAUGAUAGCAUCAUUAAAGAUUUAUCGGUGUACGAUGGGGAUGCGUUCCAUUAGGUAGUAGGCGGGGUAACGGCCCACCUAGCCAACGAUGGAUAGGGGUUCUGAGAGGAAGGUCCCCCACAUUGGAACUGAGACACGGUCCAAACUCCUACGGGAGGCAGCAGUGAGGAAUAUUGGUCAAUGGACGAGAGUCUGAACCAGCCAAGUAGCGUGAAGGAUGAAGGUCCUACGGAUUGUAAACUUCUUUUAUAAGGGAAUAAACCCUCCCACGUGUGGGAGCUUGUAUGUACCUUAUGAAUAAGCAUCGGCUAACUCCGUGCCAGCAGCCGCGGUAAUACGGAGGAUGCGAGCGUUAUCCGGAUUUAUUGGGUUUAAAGGGAGCGCAGACGGGUCGUUAAGUCAGCUGUGAAAGUUUGGGGCUCAACCUUAAAAUUGCAGUUGAUACUGGCGUCCUUGAGUGCGGUUGAGGUGUGCGGAAUUCGUGGUGUAGCGGUGAAAUGCUUAGAUAUCACGAAGAACUCCGAUUGCGAAGG